UGGGGAAUAUUGGACAAUGGGGGCAACCCUGAUCCAGCCAUGCCGCGUGUGUGAAGAAGGCCUUUUGGUUGUAAAGCACUUUAAGCAGGGAGGAGAGGCUAAUGGUUAAUACCCAUUAGAUUAGACGUUACCUGCAGAAUAAGUACCGGCUAACUCUGUGCCAGCAGCCGCGGUAUNACAGAGGGUGCGAGCGUUAAUCGGAAUUACUGGGCGUAAAAGCGAGUGUAGGUGGCUCAUUAAGUCACAUGUGAAAUCCCGGGCUUAACCUGGGAACUGCAUGUGAUACUGGUGGUGCUAGAAUAUGUGAGAGGGAAGUAGAAUUCCAGGUGUAGCGGUGAAAUGCGUAGAGAUCUGGAGGAAUACCGAUGACGAAGGCAGCUUGCCUGGCAUAAUAUUGANACUGAGAUUCGAAAGCGUGGGUGCAAACAGAUUAGAUACCCUGGUAGUCCACGCCGUAAACGAUGUCUACUAGCCGUUGGGGUCCUUGAGACUUUAGUGGCGC
Molecule: ribosomal RNA, 502 nt
Filed under: uncultured bacterium
Lineage: Bacteria
Description: partial 16S ribosomal RNA
Rfam family: Bacterial small subunit ribosomal RNA
Source: RNAcentral